AGUUUCUAAGAUUGUCAGAAUCUUUAAUAAGCUGAUGUUUUCACUUGAUCUGAUUCUCCAGAUGCUGUCCCCAUCGGCAUCAUUGUUGGUGUUGUUGCUGCUGUCCUCCUGUUGGUUAUCAUUGCUGUUGCUGGGUAUAAGGUCUAUCAGAAAAAGAAAGGCUUCAAACCUGUCAAUGCCUCUGAUGAUGGCUCUAACAGCUCAGCUCAUACAGAUCCAAAAGCAUAAAGAUGUAAGUGUAUUAUUAUUAUUAUUCAUUAGUGCAGCUGUUUCAGUCAUGUGAAAUCAAUGAAAUGUAAUAUGUUUUUGGCAUUUUAGGAGACCAGAUGAGUGCGAGAGAUGAAGUAAAACAUGAUGCUUAUCCUGCUGUCCAUCGUGCUUACAACACACACACAC
Molecule: long non-coding RNA, 396 nt
Filed under: Sinocyclocheilus anshuiensis
Lineage: Eukaryota; Metazoa; Chordata; Actinopteri; Cypriniformes; Cyprinidae
Description: lncRNA (ENSSANG00000003870.1)
Source: RNAcentral